This is an unclassified non-coding RNA of 194 nucleotides. The stretch from base 1 to 46 matches the Rfam family "Eukaryotic small subunit ribosomal RNA", at positions 1786 to 1831 of the family's 1831-position model.
AAGUCGUAACAAGGUUUCCGUAGGUGAACCUGCGGAAGGAUCAUUGACGAGAUUGAGUGGAUGCCGCGAGGUGUCUGCGAAUGACCUUCUAUUCUGUGCUUGAAGAUAUUUUUUAUGCGUACCUAAUAGUCUGAACAUGUGAAAACAAAUACAUACAAUAGUUAAAACUAUGAACAACGGAUCUCUAGGCUCUU